This 350-nucleotide unclassified non-coding RNA is filed under the name soil metagenome. Its description in RNAcentral is "partial contains 5.8S ribosomal RNA, internal transcribed spacer 2, and large subunit ribosomal RNA". The stretch from base 1 to 119 matches the Rfam family "5.8S ribosomal RNA", at positions 35 to 154 of the family's 154-position model. The record is from RNAcentral.
GAUGAAGAACGUAGCGAAAUGCGAUAUGUAAUGCGAAUUGCAGAAUCCGUGAGUCAUCGAAUCUUUGAACGCACAUUGCGCCCUCUGGUAUUCCGGAGGGCAUGCCUGUUCGAGCGUCAUUAUCACCCCUCAAGCCCGGCUUGUUGUUGGAUGCAGCGCUUAUCCCGCUCCUCCCAAAGAUAAUGACGGCGUCUGCGACGACUCCUGUACACUGAGCUUUCGGGCACGUACACGGCUAGAAGUCCAGACCCGGUCGCCGUCCCCCCCCGCGGGGACACCCAUUACCACAAGGUUGACCUCGGAUCAGGUAGGAAUACCCGCUGAACUUAAGCAUAUCAAUAAGCGGAGGA